Molecule: ribosomal RNA, 444 nt
Filed under: uncultured bacterium
Lineage: Bacteria
Description: partial 16S ribosomal RNA
Rfam family: Bacterial small subunit ribosomal RNA
Source: RNAcentral
GUGAGGAAUAUUGGACAAUGGGCGCAAGCCUGAUCCAGCCAUGCCGCGUGCAGGAAGACGCAUCUAUGGUGUGUAAACUGCUUUUGUACGGGAAGAAACACUCCCUCGUGAGGGAGCUUGACGGUACCGUAAGAAUAAGGGUCGGCUAACUCCGUGCCAGCAGCCGCGGUAAUACGGAGGAUCCAAGCGUUAUCCGGAAUCAUUGGGUUUAAAGGGUCCGUAGGCGGUUUAAUAAGUCAGUGGUGAAAGCCCAUCGCUCAACGAUGGAACGGCCAUUGAUACUGUUAGACUUGAAUUACAAGGAAGUAACUAGAAUAUGUAGUGUAGCGGUGAAAUGCUUAGAUAUUACAUGGAAUACCAAUUGCGAAGGCAGGUUACUACUUGUGGAUUGACGCUGAUGGACGAAAGCGUGGGGAGCGAACAGGAUUAGAAACCCGAGUGUCC